This 253-nucleotide long non-coding RNA is filed under the name Elaeis guineensis (African oil palm). RNAcentral describes it as "long non-coding RNA (EGUI_LNC017244)". Lineage: Eukaryota; Viridiplantae; Streptophyta; Magnoliopsida; Arecales; Arecaceae. The record is from RNAcentral.
CGACAGAAGGUAUUAGAUAUCUUGUUCUCAUUUUUUUCAUUUGUCAUUAACUAUGUUUACUUUCAAUCUAACAUGCACAUACAUCAUAUGCUAAGGAUUGGUACCAGCAUUUGAAGAGCUUUGCCCAUAGAGUAAACAUAGCUUCCGUAUCAAACAUCUAUACUCCAGCUUCAAGGCAAAGCAUCUAGGAAAGGGGUUGAAGGAUGUUUUGUGGAACUAUACUAGAGCAAUGUAUGUGGAGAACUUUGAGGAG